Molecule: long non-coding RNA, 459 nt
Organism: Cynara cardunculus var. scolymus (artichoke)
Lineage: Eukaryota; Viridiplantae; Streptophyta; Magnoliopsida; Asterales; Asteraceae
Exons: 2
Source: RefSeq, a predicted model, not a curated record
GCAAUGACAUAAGAAACUUGGUUACCGAUUUUGCAGAAACAACGAAAACUCCAAAACAAUAUUCGCUAGGUUAAGGUUCGAACAACCAUCGAAGACAAUGGCCGGAGGCGCAGGCUUAUUCAAGUUCAUCAAGCCAAACAACCGUCCUCAACCCGUCGAUAUCCAAUCCGCCGUAGGUUGGGGCGUCGUUGCUCUCACCGGUGCUGUUUGGGUCGUCCAGCCUUUUGAUUGGGUGAAGAAGACCUUUUUUGAGAAACCAGAGCCAGAAAAUUGAAUUGAAUAGAGAGAGGUAUUGGCAUCCAUCCAUCCAUCUCUAAUGGCUGAAAACUCUUCAUUUGUUUCCUUUUGCUUUCUGCUGAUGAGAAAACUGUAGGCAGGUUUUGUUUUGAUUAAAUAAUGUAAAACUCCAACAUUCGGUAGUUUAAAGAAGAAGAUAUACAAUGGUUUUUGUGGUGGCCA